GGGCAUGCCGGGAAGCGUAGUGCCGGCCGCGGGGGAAGCCGCCAUCUUGUGGCGCCGCCUGGUAGGUUCCCCUCCUUCGGACACCACGCUCCACCUGGCGCCGAGCCGUGCCGUGCCCAGCACCCUCUGCAGGAUCCUCGCCAUUUCUUAGAAGCCGGAGAAACCAGGCAGCAGGAGCGGGAGGCCCUCGGCCGCAGCCAGGCCGCUGAUGAGCACUGCCCGCCCUGCCCUGGGAUGGAGAUGCCACAAAACCACCCGCGCGCUGACAGCUGCAUGCUGGAAACCUGCCCCAGUAGCAAACGGGAAAGCGUACGGCAGAAAAACGUUUGUGGGUGCCACGGCAAAGCCCACGCAUGUGUCUUCCUGAGGCCAAAGCUGCACAGAAAUUGUAAACCUGGGGUAACCAUGAAAGUAAUUCUGUACUAAUAGAGAGUUUACAGGCGUUAAAAAGUUGUGAACUGUGAACAGAUUUUGCCGGGCACUACGCAUCGUACUAACUCGUUUGGCCUAGCUCCUUCACGCUGUCGGGCUGGUCAGGCUUCUACCGAAACCCUGCAUUACCUGCCUCAGCAGGAAAGAAGCUAUUUGAGGAUAACUAUUUCAUUAACAUUUCUCUGCCCUUUCCUUCCUUGCACAUUCUGGUAAGGGCUAACCAACUCUGUACAAAGUCUGCAUUUUCUCAUGUUUUGAGGGCAGAUUCUCCUUUAAGUAUGUAUACAAUGCUUCACUUAAUUACUGCUCUUAUUUCCACAACGUCAAACUAUAUUUUAAUAAAGGUGGCUUCUACUUAUUUCAGUGUUCAGCAAG
Numida meleagris (helmeted guineafowl) is the source of this 807-nucleotide long non-coding RNA. RefSeq lists it as uncharacterized. NCBI's taxonomy places the organism in Eukaryota, Metazoa, Chordata, Aves, Galliformes, Numididae. The transcript is spliced from 2 exons. The record is from RefSeq and is a predicted model, not a curated record.